UUAGUUAGUCAGACGGUCGCGUGGCGGGUGUGAUGCCCAUCACGAGGAAAGUCCGGGCUUUAUAGAACAGGGUGCUGGGUAACUCCCAGUGAGGGCGACCUUAAGGAAAGUGCAACAGAAAUAAACCGCCACGAAUAUGUUUUUCAAAAAUACAAGAGUUUUUGAGAAGAAGAAAUUCAGCUGUAAGAGUAAAAAACUCAGGGCUCCCACAAAGUGCCAGCAAAGCACACUGCGUGGUUCCCCAAAAGUAUCUGCCGGAAACUUUUUGGGAAAAAGGAGCAGUCGACAACAAAAGCGAAACUUUUGCGACAGCAAAAUAAGCAAAGUUGUAGAGUUGCAACGUGGUAAGGAUGGAAAGGCGGUGUAAGAGACCACCGGCCGGUUGGUGACAAUCGGUGCUCUGUAAACCCCACCUAAAGCAAGAUUAAAAGCAUCGCAUAAGGCUGUUCGUCUUGGUGCUUAAAAGUAUCGCUAAAGCCAUAUGGCAACGUACGGCUUAGAUAGAUGACCGUUUAAUACAGAACCCGGCUUAUAGACUAAUCUAAUAU
This 548-nucleotide RNase P RNA is filed under the name Christensenellaceae bacterium. RNAcentral describes it as "RNase P RNA component class A". It matches the Rfam family "Bacterial RNase P class A". From Rfam's summary of the family: Ribonuclease P (RNase P) is a ubiquitous endoribonuclease, found in archaea, bacteria and eukarya as well as chloroplasts and mitochondria. The record is from RNAcentral. Lineage: Bacteria; Bacillati; Bacillota; Clostridia; Christensenellales; Christensenellaceae.